RNAcentral lists this ribosomal RNA (497 nucleotides) under uncultured bacterium. Its description in RNAcentral is "partial 16S ribosomal RNA". It matches the Rfam family "Bacterial small subunit ribosomal RNA", at positions 28 to 507 of the family's 1533-position model. The record is from RNAcentral.
GAUGAACGCUGGCGGCGUGCCUAAUACAUGCAAGUCGAGCGAACAGACUAGGAGCUUGCUCCUCUGACGUUAGCGGCGGACGGGUGAGUAACACGUGGAUAACCUACCUAUAAGACUGGGAUAACUUCGGGAAACCGGAGCUAAUACCGGAUAAUAUAUUGAACCGCAUGGUUCAAUAGUUAAAGACGGUUUUGCUGUCACUUAUAGAUGGAUCCGCGCCGCAUUAGCUAGUUGGUAAGGUAACGGCUUACCAAGGCAACGAUGCGUAGCCGACCUGAGAGGGUGAUCGGCCACACUGGAACUGAGACACGGUACAGAAUCCUACGGGAGGCAGAAGUAGGGAAUCUGCAGCAAUGGGCGAAAGCCUGACGGAGCAAAGCAGCGUGAGUGAUGAAGGUCUUCGGAUAGUAAAACUCUGUUAUUAGGGAAGAACAAAUGUGUAAGUAACUAUGCAAGUCUUGAAGGUACCUAAUCAGAAAGCCAAGGCUAACUAAGUG